GGUCGGUCCAGAGUUUCUCACCUA
Molecule: non-coding RNA, 24 nt
Filed under: Arabidopsis thaliana (thale cress)
Lineage: Eukaryota; Viridiplantae; Streptophyta; Magnoliopsida; Brassicales; Brassicaceae
Source: RNAcentral